RNAcentral lists this small RNA (733 nucleotides) under Pongo abelii (Sumatran orangutan). RNAcentral describes it as "processed transcript". Lineage: Eukaryota; Metazoa; Chordata; Mammalia; Primates; Hominidae. The record is from RNAcentral.
GGGAUGAGAGCUUGAGCCUGAGUGAUAGUGAUUUUGACAAGCCGGAGAAAUUAUAUUCUCCUAAGAGAAUUGACUUCACUCCAGUUUCUCCAGCACCUUCGCCCACCAGGGGAUUUGGAAAGAUGUUUGUGAGCAGCAGUGGAUUGCCACCAAGUCCAGUUCCCAGUCCAAGACGAUUUUCAAGCAGGAGAAGUCAGAGUCCAGUCAAGUGCAUUAGACCCAGUGUUCUUGGUCCUCUUAAAAGAAAAGGUGAAAUGGAGACAGAAAGUCAGCCCAAGAGACUCUUCCAAGGCACUACCAAUAUGUUAUCUCCAGAUGCCGCGCAAUUGUCUGAUCUCAGUUCAUGUUCAGAUAUUUUGGAUGGCAGUAGUAGCAGCAGUGGCUUAUCCUCAGACCCGCUGGCUAAAGGCAGCGCUACCGCAGAGUCUCCAGUAGCAUGCUCCAAUUCAUGCUCUUCGUUCAUCUUGAUGGAUGAUCUCUCACCCAAGUGACUUAACCAUUUCUGAUUCAACGUUUUAACUGCUGUUUCCUACAUAAAAUGUUUAGUGGGGAACGCAGAGAACUUUGAUCCAUAAUGAGGAUUAAAGUUUUACAGAUUUCACGCAUUCUGAUGCUAUUAUUACUCUUUGGCAUCUCUCUUCUCCAAAGUUCAAUUUUGUGAGCCCAGUGACCUUACUAAUAUCUGGUUUUGCUGAUCUCAUUUUGGAUUUAGUGAUGAAAUCUCAAAUGCUCA